Molecule: transfer RNA, 21 nt
Filed under: Hymenasplenium excisum
Lineage: Eukaryota; Viridiplantae; Streptophyta; Polypodiopsida; Polypodiales; Aspleniaceae
Description: partial tRNA-Leu
Source: RNAcentral
GUUCAAGUCCCUCUAUCCCUA